RNAcentral lists this unclassified non-coding RNA (148 nucleotides) under soil metagenome. RNAcentral describes it as "partial internal transcribed spacer 1". The record is from RNAcentral.
UAAUAAGUGUUUUAUGGCACUUUUUAAAUCCAUAUCCACCUCGUGUGCAAUGUCAGUCGAUCUUCUUCAUGGAGAUCGACCAAACAUCAACCUUUAUUUUUUAACUAGUAGUUGCCUGAUAAAUAUUUGAAUGAAUAAAAUCAAAAUA